GCCCCCAUAGCUCAGCAGGACAGAGCGCGCCGCUACGAACGGCGAGGUCCCAGGUUCGACUCCUGGUGGGGGCACCG
This 77-nucleotide transfer RNA is filed under the name Saccharothrix sp. CB00851. RNAcentral describes it as "tRNA-Arg". It matches the Rfam family "tRNA". From Rfam's summary of the family: Transfer RNA (tRNA) molecules are approximately 80 nucleotides in length. Their secondary structure includes four short double-helical elements and three loops (D, anti-codon, and T loops). Further hydrogen bonds mediate the characteristic L-shaped molecular structure. tRNAs have two regions of fundamental functional importance: the anti-codon, which is responsible for specific mRNA codon recognition, and the 3' end, to which the tRNAs corresponding amino acid is attached (by aminoacyl-tRNA synthetases). tRNAs cope with the degeneracy of the genetic code in two manners: having more than one tRNA (with a specific anti-codon) for a particular amino acid; and 'wobble' base-pairing, i.e. permitting non-standard base-pairing at the 3rd anti-codon position. Lineage: Bacteria; Bacillati; Actinomycetota; Actinomycetes; Pseudonocardiales; Pseudonocardiaceae. The record is from RNAcentral.